RNAcentral lists this long non-coding RNA (317 nucleotides) under Marmota monax (woodchuck). Lineage: Eukaryota; Metazoa; Chordata; Mammalia; Rodentia; Sciuridae. The record is from RNAcentral.
AGCACCAACUGGUAACUGACGUUGACUAGGAGCUUCCUGGGCUGAGGACUCGGCCAUCCAUGCUGAACAUUUAUUCACAUUUUCUCCAGAUGGGCAGUUGAGAAACUUGUCUGGGCCACUGAAUAGAGAGCACAUGGCCACAGAGUGCUGCACUUCACCUCCUAGCUCUGUUCUGUUCCAGAAUGUGGCUGACCCACAUCACCUUCCCCCAUUCCAGCUCUUCACAACUGACACCUCAGAAGGCUUCCCAGAGUGAGCAUGUGUGUCCUCUGCUUGAGCACCCUCCUGAGGGAGAGGGUAAGCACAACUCGGAGCAC